CAUAAAUCUGGAUCAGAGAGACGGUGAGCAGGACUGCCAUCACCUGGCUACUGAGAGCACCCUCUGUCUGCAAAUACAGGGGCUCUGUCUCCUUGCUGUCUUGGGAUCUCUUCUCUUCAGUGACGCUGAGUUCCCAGCCAACCUUCAGCAAUGAAGAUCCUUUACCUGCUCUUUACUGUUGUCUUCUUGGUGCUCCAGGGUGUCUCAGAAUUCUCCCAGGCUGAGAGGAGCACCUUGGCGUGUGGAGAGCUUGGAGGUGCCUGCUUCCCUCUAAGAUGUCCGUCCAAUUCUGUGCACGUUAGAAGUUGCUAUCCACAGGGCGUUUGCUGUCGAAGGAGAUUUUUUUGACUGAUUGUCUAAUCAGGAUCUCUGGGAAUCUGGCAGACAGCCUCUUGCUUCUAAAAUCAUCAGAUCCUGCUUCAAUGGAACCCUGAAGUGCUGCUUAUGUGGGCUAUAAAGAACCUUGUGAGCCGGAGAAAUUCCAGAAGGGAGCCCUUGUGUCCCCCAUAUAAGAUUUGUUAUUCUCCUUUUAAUAAAAGCAAGCUGGUCUGAGAUCAUA
Caretta caretta (loggerhead turtle) is the source of this 559-nucleotide long non-coding RNA. RefSeq lists it as uncharacterized. Lineage: Eukaryota; Metazoa; Chordata; Testudines; Cheloniidae. The record is from RefSeq and is a predicted model, not a curated record.